Molecule: unclassified non-coding RNA, 318 nt
Filed under: uncultured fungus
Lineage: Eukaryota; Fungi
Description: partial contains 5.8S ribosomal RNA, internal transcribed spacer 2, and large subunit ribosomal RNA
Source: RNAcentral
AACGCACCUUGCGCUCUUUGGUUAUUCCGAAGAGCAUGCCUGUUUGAGUGUCGCGAACCUCUCAACCCCGCCAAUUCUUUAUUGAAUCGGUAGUUUCGGGUUUGGAUCAUGGUCUCUUGCCGAAUUAAUGUCUCGGCUAGACUGAAAUAUAACAAGCUGGAUAAAUUGAUAAGUGCGGCUUGACCUGACGUUGUAGUGCCUAAUAAUCAACUCGUCGGGGACGCAUUAGACUUUUUAAUGAGCUUUACAAUACACGUUGCUUUCGAGCGAUUAGUGCAUUUUGACCUCAAAUCAGGUAGGACUACCCGCUGAACUUAA